UCCGGUUGAUCCUGCCGGACCCGACUGCUAUCAGAGUGGGACUAAGCCAUGCGAGUUAACGCAGCAAUGCGUGGCAUACGGCUCAGUAACACGUAGUCAACAUGCCCAGGGGACGUGGAUGACCUCGGGAAACUGAGGACAAACCGCGAUAGGCCAAGGUUUCUGGAAUGGAUCAUGGCUGAAACCUAUAUGGCCCCUGGAUUGGACUGCGGCCGAUCAGGCUGUUGGUGAGGUAAUGGCCCACCAAACCUGUAACCGGUACGGGCUCUGAGAGGAGGAGCCCGGAGAUGGGCACUGAGACAAGGGCCCAGGCCCUAUGGGGCGCAGCAGGCGCGAAACCUCUGCAAUAGGCGAAAGCUUGACAGGGUUACUCUGAGUGACGUCCGUUAAGGACGUCUUUUGGCACCUCUAAAAAUGGUGCAGAAUAAGGGGUGGGCAAGUCUGGUGUCAGCCGCCGCGGUAAUACCAGCACCCCGAGUGGUCGGGACGAUUAUUGGGCCUAAAGCAUCCGUAGCCGGUUCUGCAAGUCUUCCGUUAAAUCCACCUGCUCAACAGAUGGGCCGCGGAGGAUACUACAGGGCUAGGAGGCGGGAGAGGCAAGCGGUACUCAGUGGGUAGGGGUAAAAUCCUCUGAUCCACUGAAGACCACCAGUGGCGAAGGCGGCUUGCCAGAACGCGCUCGACGGUGAGGGAUGAAAGCUGGGGGAGCAAACCGGAUUAGAUACCCGGGUAGUCCCAGCUGUAAACGAUGCAGACUCGGUGAUGGGUUGGCUUUGGGCCAACCCAGUGCCGCAGGGAAGCCGUUAAGUCUGCCGCCUGGGGAGUACGGUCGCAAGACUGAAACUUAAAGGAAUUGGCGGGGGAGCACCACAAGGGGUGAAGCCUGCGGUUCAAUUGGAGUCAACGCCGGAAAUCUUACCGGGGGCGACAGCAGAGUGAAGGUCAAGCUGAAGACUUUACCAGACAAGCUGAGAGGAGGUGCAUGGCC
This 988-nucleotide ribosomal RNA is filed under the name uncultured archaeon. RNAcentral describes it as "bacterial SSU rRNA". It matches the Rfam family "Archaeal small subunit ribosomal RNA", at positions 1 to 999 of the family's 1478-position model. The record is from RNAcentral.